UACGAAGGGGGCGAGCGUUGUUCGGAUUUACUGGGCGUAAAGGGCGCGCAGGCGGUUCUGUUUGUCGAGUGUGAAAGCCCCGGGCUCAACCUGGGAACUGCGCUCGAAACGGCGGAACUAGAGUUCGGGAGAGGAGAGUGGAAUUCCCAGUGUAGAGGUGAAAUUCGUAGAUAUCGUGAGGAACACCAGAGGCGAAGGCGGUUUCCUGGACAGUUACUGACGCUCAGGCACGAAAGCGUGGGGAGCAAAAGGG
This 253-nucleotide ribosomal RNA is filed under the name uncultured bacterium. RNAcentral describes it as "partial 16S ribosomal RNA". It matches the Rfam family "Bacterial small subunit ribosomal RNA", at positions 524 to 776 of the family's 1533-position model. The record is from RNAcentral.